This 71-nucleotide transfer RNA is filed under the name Zingiber officinale. It matches the Rfam family "tRNA". Rfam says of the family: Transfer RNA (tRNA) molecules are approximately 80 nucleotides in length. Their secondary structure includes four short double-helical elements and three loops (D, anti-codon, and T loops). Lineage: Eukaryota; Viridiplantae; Streptophyta; Magnoliopsida; Zingiberales; Zingiberaceae. The record is from Rfam by way of RNAcentral.
GGGUAUUUGGUCUAGUGGUAUGAUUCUCGCCUAGGGUGCAGAGGUCCCAAGUUCAAUUCUCGGAAUACCCC